GGGUAUAAUGGAAUGGCACCCGAAGCUGUACACGUGACACCACCUGAUUGGUGAUGCUUUUUUGGUACAUAUUGAAAAGGGUAUCUUUCGAUCCUAUAGUAUGAUCAAACCCGGAGUAUGCUUAUAUCAGUAUCUAUCGAAAAGGCAUCAUCAAUCAGGUAAUGCCACGUGUGCAACUCAGGUCUCAUUGUUUUAUACCC
Vitis vinifera (wine grape) is the source of this 200-nucleotide non-coding RNA. NCBI's taxonomy places the organism in Eukaryota, Viridiplantae, Streptophyta, Magnoliopsida, Vitales, Vitaceae. The record is from RefSeq and is marked provisional.